AACGAACGCUGGCGGCAGGCCUAACACAUGCAAGUCGAGCGCACCUUCGGGUGAGCGGCGGACGGGUGAGUAACGCGUGGGAAUAUGCCCAGAUCUACGGAAUAGCCUCGGGAAACUGAGAGUAAUACCGUAUACGCCCUUCGGGGGAAAGAUUUAUCGGAUUUGGAUUAGCCCGCGUUGGAUUAGGUAGUUGGUGGGGUAAAAGCCUACCAAGCCGACGAUCCAUAGCUGGUUUGAGAGGAUGAUCAGCCACACUGGGACUGAGACACGGCCCAGACUCCUACGGGAGGCAGCAGUGGGGAAUCUUAGACAAUGGGGAAACCCUGAUCUAGCCAUGCCGCGUGAGUGACGAAGGCCCUAGGGUCGUAAAGCUCUUUCAACUGUGAAGAUAAUGACGGUAGCAGUAGAAGAAACCCCGGCUAACUCCGUGCCAGCGCCGCGGUAAU
RNAcentral lists this ribosomal RNA (446 nucleotides) under uncultured bacterium. Its description in RNAcentral is "bacterial SSU rRNA". It matches the Rfam family "Bacterial small subunit ribosomal RNA", at positions 29 to 524 of the family's 1533-position model. The record is from RNAcentral.